This 440-nucleotide ribosomal RNA is filed under the name uncultured bacterium. Its description in RNAcentral is "partial 16S ribosomal RNA". It matches the Rfam family "Bacterial small subunit ribosomal RNA", at positions 338 to 795 of the family's 1533-position model. The record is from RNAcentral.
CCUACGGGUGGCAGCAGUGGGGGAUAUUGCACAAUGGGGGGAACCCUGAUGCAGCGACGCCGCGUGUGGGAAGACGGUCCUCUGGAUUGUAAACCACUGUCGCCAGGGACGAAAAUGACGGUCCCUGGGGAGGAAGCUCCGGCUAACUACGUGCCAGCAGGCGCGGUAAUACGUAGGGAGCGAGCGUUGUCCGGAAGUACUGGGUGUAAAGGGCGCGUAGGCGGGGAUGCAAGUUGGGUGUCAAAACUCCCGGCUCAACUGGUAGUCGCACUCAAAACUGCAGCUCUUGAGUGAAGUAGAGGCAGGCGGAAUUCCUAGUGUAGCGGUGAAAUGCGUAGAUAUUAGGAGGAACACCAGUGGCGAAGGCAGCCUGCUGGGCUUUUACUGACGCUGAGGCUCGAAAGUGUGGGGAGCAAACAGGAUUAGAUACCCUUGUAGUC